UAAAACGUAAGGGGCUAGCGUUGUCCGGAAUUACUGGGCGUAAAGAGCACGUAGGCGGCCGAGUAAGCGGCAGGUGAAAUCUCGCGGCUCAACCGCGAAAUGGCUUGCCGAACUACUUGGCUCGAGCACGGGAGAGGGCAGUGGAAUUCCUGGUGUAGCGGUGGAAUGCGUAUAUAUCAGGAGGAACACCAGUGGCGAAGGCUGCUGCCUGGAACGUUGCUGACGCUGAGGUGCGAAAGCUAGGGGAGCAAACAGGAUUAGAUACCCUGGUAGUCCUAGCCGUAAACGAUGGACACUAGGUGUUGGAGGCUCGACCCUUCCAGUGCUGUUAAGCUAACGCGUUAAGUGUCCCGCCUGGGGAGUACGGUCGCAAGGCUG
This 378-nucleotide ribosomal RNA is filed under the name uncultured bacterium. RNAcentral describes it as "bacterial SSU rRNA". It matches the Rfam family "Bacterial small subunit ribosomal RNA", at positions 521 to 896 of the family's 1533-position model. The record is from RNAcentral.